CACUCCUGCGGGAGGCAGCAGUGGGGAAUAUUGGACAAUGGGCGCAAGCCUGAUCCAGCCAUGCCGCGUGAGUGAUGAAGGCCCUAGGGUUGUAAAGCUCUUUCACCGGUGAAGAUAAUGACGGUAACCGGAGAAGAAGCCCCGGCUAACUUCGUGCCAGCAGCCGCGGUAAUACGAAGGGGGCUAGCGUUGUUCGGAUUUACUGGGCGUAAAGCGCACGUAGGCGGACUAUUAAGUCAGGGGUGAAAUCCCGGGGCUCAACCCCGGAACUGCCGUUGAUACUGGUAGUCUUGAGUUCGAGAGAGGUGAGUGGAAUUCCGAGUGUAGAGGUGAAAUUCGUAGAUAUUCGGAGGAACACCAGUGGCGAAGGCGGCUCACUGGCUCGAUACUGACGCUGAGGUGCGAAAGCGUGGGGAGCAAACAGUAUUAGAUACCCCAGUAGUCCCAUG
Molecule: ribosomal RNA, 449 nt
Filed under: uncultured organism
Description: partial 16S ribosomal RNA
Rfam family: Bacterial small subunit ribosomal RNA
Source: RNAcentral